CACUUUCAUGGGGAAGAUUUAGUAUUGCUAAUAUCAGUAUUAAUUGACGUUACCCAUACAAGAAGCACCGGCUAACUCCGUGCCAGCAGCCGCGGUAAUACGGAGGGUGCAAGCGUUAAUCGGAAUUACUGGGCGUAAAGAGUACGUAGGUGGUUUAUUAAGUCAGAUGUGAAAUCCCUGAGCUUAACUUAGGAACUGCAUUUGAAACUGAUAGGCUAGAGUUUCGUAGAGGGGGGUAGAAUUCCAGGUGUAGCGGUGAAAUGCGUAGAGAUCUGGAGGAAUACCAGUGGCGAAGGCGGCCCCCUGGACGAAAACUGACACUCAGGUACGAAAGCAUGGGGAGCAAACAGGAUUAGAUACCCUGGUAGUCCAUGCCGUAAACGAUGUCGAUUUGAAGGUUGUAAUCUUAUGAAUUAUAGCUUUCGGAGCUAACGUGUUAAAUCGACCGCCUGGGGAGUACGACCGCAAGGUUAAAACUCAAAUGAAUUGACGGGGGCCCGCACAAGCGGUGGAGCAUGUGGUUUAAUUCGAUGCAACACGAAGAACCUUACCUACUCUUGACAUCCAAAGAACUGCAUAGAGAUAUGUGGGUGCCUUAGGGAACUUUGAGACAGGUGCUGCAUGGCUGUCGUCAGCUCGUGUUGUGAAAUGUUGGGUUAAGUCCCGCAACGAGCGCAACCCUUAUCCUUUGUUGCCAACGAGUUAAGUCGGGAACUCAAAGGAGACUGCCGGUGAUAAGCCGGAGGAAGGUGAGG
This 755-nucleotide ribosomal RNA is filed under the name Blochmannia endosymbiont of Camponotus crassus 223. RNAcentral describes it as "bacterial SSU rRNA". It matches the Rfam family "Bacterial small subunit ribosomal RNA", at positions 431 to 1178 of the family's 1533-position model. The record is from RNAcentral. Lineage: Bacteria; Pseudomonadati; Pseudomonadota; Gammaproteobacteria; Enterobacterales; Enterobacteriaceae.